AUGGUAGUCGAUGCCCUGGCCGCUAUCUUGGAUAAGGCCAAGGCCGCCGGCCACAUCCUAGGCAUCGUCCCGCAUUUGGUGGAGGGAGGAGAUGUUUCCCUCCUCCAAUACACCGAUGACACCAUCAUCAUGGUGCAAGGCUCAGUGGCUGAGAUCUCGAACCUAAAAUUCCUCCUGCUCUAUUUCCAACACCUAUCAGGCCUCAAAAUAAACAUCGAUAAAAGCACGGUGAUGGUUUUGGGAUAUUCUCCCUCUGAUAGCCAGAGUAUUGCUAACCGACUUAACUCUCGGCUAGGGUCAUUCCCAACUACUUAUCUGGGGAUCCCCAUUAGUGACUCCCGCCUGUCAGUGGCUAACCUGAGACCCUCGGUUGAAAGUGCAACUAUCCCUGGGUGGUUUUGGUAA
This 405-nucleotide ribosomal RNA is filed under the name Triticum aestivum (bread wheat). Its description in RNAcentral is "partial small subunit ribosomal RNA". Lineage: Eukaryota; Viridiplantae; Streptophyta; Magnoliopsida; Poales; Poaceae. The record is from RNAcentral.